This 32-nucleotide non-coding RNA is filed under the name Homo sapiens (human). Lineage: Eukaryota; Metazoa; Chordata; Mammalia; Primates; Hominidae. The record is from RNAcentral.
UCUGUAUCCUCUGCUGUUCCUCUCUUGGCCUC